AGUGAACGCUGGCGGUAGGCCUAACACAUGCAAGUCGAACGGCAGCACAGUAAGAGCUUGCUCUUACGGGUGGCGAGUGGCGGACGGGUGAGGAAUACAUCGGAAUCUACUUUUUCGUGGGGGAUAACGUAGGGAAACUUACGCUAAUACCGCAUACGACCUACGGGUGAAAGCAGGGGAUCUUCGGUCCUUGCGCGAUUGAAUGAGCCGAUGUCGGAUUAGCUAGUUGGCGGGGUAAAGGCCCACCAAGGCGACGAUCCGUAGCUGGUCUGAGAGGAUGAUCAGCCACACUGGAACUGAGACACGGUCCAGACUCCUACGGGAGGCAGCAGUGGGGAAUAUUGGACAAUGGGCGCAAGCCUGAUCCAGCCAUACCGCGUGGGUGAAGAAGGCCUUCGGGUUGUAAAGCCCCUUUGUUGGGAAAGAAAAGCAGCAGGUUAAUACCCCGCUGUUCUGACGGUACCCAAAGAAUAAGCACCGGCUAACUUCGU
RNAcentral lists this ribosomal RNA (491 nucleotides) under uncultured bacterium. RNAcentral's name for it is "partial 16S ribosomal RNA". It matches the Rfam family "Bacterial small subunit ribosomal RNA", at positions 29 to 506 of the family's 1533-position model. The record is from RNAcentral.